UGAGUGUGCCUUCCUGACAGUUGGCAGCACUACUGUGCUGCUGUGUGAGUGCCCGCUCAGAAGAUGCUCAUGAAGCAGCAGGACCGGCUGGAGGAGCGAGAGCAGGACAUUGAGGACCAGCUGUACAAACUCGAGUCAGACAAGCGCCUGGUGGAGGAGAAAGUGAACCAACUGAAGGAGGAAGUUCGGCUGCAGUACGAGAAGCUGCACCAGCUGCUGGACGAGGACCUGCGGCAGACAGUGGAGGUCCUGGACAAGGCCCAGGCCAAGUUCUGCAGCGAGAACGCAGCGCAGGCGCUGCACCUCGGGGAGCGCAUGCAGGAGGCCAAGAAGCUGCUGGGCUCCCUGCAGCUGCUCUUUGAUAAGACGGAGGAUGUCAGCUUCAUGAAGAACACCAAGUCUGUGAAAAUCCUGAUGGACAGGACCCAGACCUGCACAAGCAGCAGCCUUUCCCCGCCUAAGAUCGGCCACCUGAACUCCAAGCUCUUCCUGAAUGAGGUGGCCAAGAAGGAGAAGCAGCUGCGGAAAAUGCUAGAAGGCCCCUUCAGCACGCCGGUGCCCUUCCUGCAGAGUGUCCCACUGUACCCUUGUGGCGUGAGCAGCUCUGGGGCGGAAAAGCGCAAGCACUCAACGGCCUUCCCAGAGGCCAGUUUCCUAGAGACGUCGUCGGGCCCUGUGGGCGGCCAGUACGGGGCGGCGGGCACAGCCAGCGGUGAGGGCCAGUCUGGGCAGCCCCUGGGGCCCUGCAGCUCCACGCAGCA
Molecule: small RNA, 761 nt
Filed under: Pongo abelii (Sumatran orangutan)
Lineage: Eukaryota; Metazoa; Chordata; Mammalia; Primates; Hominidae
Description: processed transcript
Source: RNAcentral